AUUGAACGCUGGCGGCAGGCCUAACACAUGCAAGUCGAACGGUAAGGCCCUUCGGGGUACACGAGUGGCGAACGGGUGAGUAACACGUGAACAACCUGCCCUUGACUCUGGGAUAACAGUUGGAAACAGCUGCUAAUACCGGAUACGAGCCUGCAAGACAUCUUGCGGGCUUGAAAGCUCCGGCGGUCAAGGGUGGAUUCGCGGCCUAUCAGCUUGUGGUGAGGUAACGGCUCACCAAGGCUUCGACGGGUAGCCGGCCUGAGAGGGCGACCGGCCACACUGGGACUGAGAUACGG
RNAcentral lists this ribosomal RNA (296 nucleotides) under uncultured bacterium. RNAcentral describes it as "partial 16S ribosomal RNA". It matches the Rfam family "Bacterial small subunit ribosomal RNA", at positions 30 to 329 of the family's 1533-position model. The record is from RNAcentral.